RNAcentral lists this transfer RNA (75 nucleotides) under candidate division KD3-62 bacterium DG_56. Its description in RNAcentral is "tRNA-Gly". It matches the Rfam family "tRNA". Rfam says of the family: Transfer RNA (tRNA) molecules are approximately 80 nucleotides in length. Their secondary structure includes four short double-helical elements and three loops (D, anti-codon, and T loops). RNAcentral also lists the same sequence under 1 other name. Lineage: Bacteria; candidate division KD3-62. The record is from RNAcentral.
GCGGAAGUAGCUCAAUGGUAGAGCUUCUGCUUGCCAUGCAGAAGGUUGAGGGUUCGAAUCCCUUCUUCCGCUCCA